UGGGGGAUAUUGCACAAUGGGCGAAAGCCUGAUGCAGCGACGCCGCGUGGGGGAUGAAGUCUUUCGGGUUGUAAACCUCUUUCGCUAUCGAACAAGGCCCGCUUAGGGUGGGUUGAGGGUAGGUGGAGAAGAAGCGCCGGCUAACUACGUGCCAGCAGCCGCGGUAAUACGUAGGGCGCGAGCGUUGUCCGGAAUUAUUGGGCGUAAAGGGCUUGUAGGCGGCUUGUUGCGCCUGCUGUGAAAACGCGGGGCUUAACUUCGCGCGUGCAGUGGGUACGGGCAGGCUUGAGUGUGGUAGGGGUGACUGGAAUUCCAGGUGUAGCGGUGGAAUGCGCAGAUAUCUGGAGGAACACCGAUGGCGAAGGCAGGUCACUGGGCCAUUACUGACGCUGAGGAGCGAAAGCAUGGGUAGCGAACAGG
RNAcentral lists this ribosomal RNA (420 nucleotides) under bacterium. RNAcentral's name for it is "partial 16S ribosomal RNA". It matches the Rfam family "Bacterial small subunit ribosomal RNA", at positions 355 to 776 of the family's 1533-position model. The record is from RNAcentral.